GCUGACGAGUGGCGGACGGGUGAGUAAUGUCUGGGAAACUGCCUGAUGGAGGGGGAUAACUACUGGAAACGGUAGCUAAUACCGCAUAACGUCGCAAGACCAAAGAGGGGGACCUUCGGGCCUCUUGCCAUCGGAUGUGCCCAGAUGGGAUUAGCUAGUAGGUGGGGUAACGGCUCACCUAGGCGACGAUCCCUAGCUGGUCUGAGAGGAUGACCAGCCACACUGGAACUGAGACACGGUCCAGACUCCUACGGGAGGCAGCAGUGGGGAAUAUUGCACAAUGGGCGCAAGCCUGAUGCAGCCAUGCCGCGUGUAUGAAGAAGGCCUUCGGGUUGUAAAGUACUUUCAGCGGGGAGGAAGGGAGUAAAGUUAAUACCUUUGCUCAUUGACGUUACCCGCAGAAGAAGCACCGGCUAACUCCGUGCCAGCAGCCGCGGUAAUACGGAGGGUGCAAGCGUUAAUCGGAAUUACUGGGCGUAAAGCGCACGCAGGCGGUUUGUUAAGUCAGAUGUGAAAUCCCCGGGCUCAACCUGGGAACUGCAUCUGAUACUGGCAAGCUUGAGUC
Molecule: ribosomal RNA, 565 nt
Filed under: Escherichia coli
Lineage: Bacteria; Pseudomonadati; Pseudomonadota; Gammaproteobacteria; Enterobacterales; Enterobacteriaceae
Description: bacterial SSU rRNA
Rfam family: Bacterial small subunit ribosomal RNA
Source: RNAcentral